UGGGGAAUAUUGGACAAUGGGCGAAAGCCUGAUCCAGCCAUGCCGCAUGAGUGAAGAAGGCCUUUGGGUUGUAAAGCUCUUUUAGUGAGGAAGAUAAUGACGGUACUCACAGAAGAAGUCCUGGCUAACUCCGUGCCAGCAGCCGCGGUCAUACGGAGAGGGCUAGCGUUAUUCGGAAUUAUUGGGCGUAAAGGGCGCGUAGGCUGGUUAAUAAGUUAAAAGUGAAAUCCCGAGGCUUAACCUUGGAAUUGCUUUUAAAACUAUUAAUCUAGAGAUUGAAAGAGGAUAGAGGAAUUCCUGAUGUAGAGGUAAAAUUCGUAAAUAUUAGGAGGAACACCGGUGGCGAAGGCGUCUAUCUGGUUCAAAUCUGACGCUGAAGCGCGAAGGCGUGGGGAGCAAACA
Molecule: ribosomal RNA, 402 nt
Filed under: uncultured bacterium
Lineage: Bacteria
Description: partial 16S ribosomal RNA
Rfam family: Bacterial small subunit ribosomal RNA
Source: RNAcentral